RNAcentral lists this ribosomal RNA (497 nucleotides) under uncultured bacterium. RNAcentral describes it as "partial 16S ribosomal RNA". It matches the Rfam family "Bacterial small subunit ribosomal RNA", at positions 28 to 507 of the family's 1533-position model. The record is from RNAcentral.
GAUGAACGCUGGCGGCGUGCCUAAUACAUGCAAGUCGAGCGAACAGACGAGGAGCUUGCUCCUCUGACGUUAGCGGCGGACGGGUGAGUAACACGUGGAUAACCUACCUAUAAGACUGGGAUAACUUCGGGAAACCGGAGCUAAUACCGGAUAAUAUAUUGAACCGCAUGGUUCAAUAGUGAAAGACGGUUUUGCUGUCACUUAUAGAUGGAUCCGCGCCGCAUUAGCUAGUUGGUAAGGUAACGGCUUACCAAGGCAACGAUGCGGAGCCGACCUGAGAGGGUGAUCGGCCACACUGGAACUGAGACACGGUCCAGACUCCUACGGGAGGCAGCAGUAGGGAAUCUUCCGCAAUGGGCGAAAGCUUGACGGAGCAACGCCGCGUGAGUGAUGAAGGUCUUCGGAUCGUAAAACUCUGUUAUUAGGGAAGAACAAAUGUGUAAGUAACUAUGCACGUCUUGACGGUACCUAAUCAGAAAGCCACGGCUAACUACGUG